Molecule: ribosomal RNA, 497 nt
Filed under: uncultured bacterium
Lineage: Bacteria
Description: partial 16S ribosomal RNA
Rfam family: Bacterial small subunit ribosomal RNA
Source: RNAcentral
GAUGAACGCUGGCGGCGUGCCUAACACAUGCAAGUCGAGCGAAAGGACGAAACACCUUCCUCUCUGAUGUUAGAGGCGGAGAGGGGUGUAAAACGUGGGUAACAUUCCUAUAUGAAUGGGGUUAACUAGGGAAAACGUUGGCAAAAACGGCUAAUAUUUUCAACAGCAUGGUUCAAAAGUGAAAGACGGUCUUGCUGUCACUUAUAGAUGGUUCCACUCUGGAUUAGCUAGUUGGUAAGGUAACGGCUUACCAAGGCAACGAUGCAUAGCCGAGCUGAGAGGAUGACCGGCCACACUGGAACUGAGACACGGUCCAGACUCCUACGGGAGGCAGCAGUGGGGAAUAUUCCGCAAUGGGCGAAAGCCUGACGGAGCAACGCCGCGUGUGUGAAGAAGGCCUUCGGAUCGUAAAGUUCUUUUAUUAGGGAGGAACAGAGUAGUGAGAAACUGUGCACAUCUUGACGUUACCUAAACAGAAAGCCACGGCUAACUACGUG